UACGGAGACUGCAAGCGUUACUCGGAUUCACUGGGCGUAAAGAGUAUGUAGGCGGUAGUGUGUGUCGGAUGUGAAAUCCCGAAGCUUAACUUCGGGGCUGCGUCCGAAACUGCACUUCUAGAGUCUUGGAGAGGGUAGUGGAAUUCUCAGUGUAGCGGUGAAAUGCGUAGAUAUUGAGAGGAACACCAAUGGCGAAGGCA
Molecule: ribosomal RNA, 200 nt
Filed under: uncultured bacterium
Lineage: Bacteria
Description: partial 16S ribosomal RNA
Rfam family: Bacterial small subunit ribosomal RNA
Source: RNAcentral